AUAUUGUAUUUCUAGGUACAUAUCGUACAUGGCAGGCCCUGAAAUUUUGGGGGCCUAAAAUUUUUAAGAAGUUUGUUGUAGUUUCUAAAAUUGGGGGCCAAUUUAUAGGAAAAAUCAAUUGGGGGCCUUUUUGUAAAGAAAAAAUAACUAAAAUUUUGGGGACUACAGUCAAUUGUUUCUUCUUGCUCUGCUUAGUUACGACACUAUAUGUAUGACUAUAUGUAUUAACUAUACGAUGUAAUGUGUUUUAUACCAUAGACAUACAAUUCCGGUACGCUAUUUGACUAGCUUCGACGUUAACCAACAUUGACCAACAAAAAUAUUUAAGAAAUU
Molecule: small RNA, 333 nt
Filed under: Arabidopsis thaliana (thale cress)
Lineage: Eukaryota; Viridiplantae; Streptophyta; Magnoliopsida; Brassicales; Brassicaceae
Description: ATSL282890
Source: RNAcentral